Molecule: microRNA, 20 nt
Filed under: Ciona intestinalis (vase tunicate)
Lineage: Eukaryota; Metazoa; Chordata; Ascidiacea; Phlebobranchia; Cionidae
Description: cin-miR-4042-3p
Source: miRBase by way of RNAcentral
AGAUAGGACUUGAAUCACUG